Molecule: long non-coding RNA, 398 nt
Filed under: Corvus moneduloides (New Caledonian crow)
Lineage: Eukaryota; Metazoa; Chordata; Aves; Passeriformes; Corvidae
Description: lncRNA (ENSCMUG00000019745.1)
Source: RNAcentral
CUUUUCACAGGAAUAAACCAGUGUGGAGCACAUAUGGAGAAUCCUCUCUCUUUACUUCUUUACCUUCGCCUGCUUAACAGUGACAGAAGGAUACAGCCCCUUCUGGAUCAGGCUUGACCAGGAAAAGCAGCCUAGCCCAACUUGGUGGUUGCCUGCAGGGACAGAAAGAGUGGAGAAUCUCGUGGUCCAUUUCUCUUCCUCCCCUGCUUUUUACAGUUUCAUGGAGCCAUGGGAGCUCUGGAAGUGAACUCAGACAAGAAGAGGUCAUGGCUGGAGGAACAAACCACACGUGGGACUAUGUUUCUUUUCUGCAGAUGGUAGUCAUGCACUGCUCAAACAGAGCUGUCUUGCCACAUCCAUGUCCAAAUGGGAUGAUUAGGGCAUUCUUCAGGCACUGA